UAACAGGGGGUGCUUGCACCCCGCUGACGAGCGGCGGACGGGUGAGUAAUGCAUAGGAAACUGCCCAGUAGUGGGGGAUAGCCCGGGGAAACCCGGAUUAAUACCGCGUACGCCCUUCGGGGGAAAGCAGGGGAUCUUCGGACCUUGCGCUAUUGGAUGUGCCUAUGUCGGAUUAGCUAGUUGGUGGGGUAAAGGCCUACCAAGGCGACGAUCCGUAGCUGGUCUGAGAGGAUGAUCAGCCACAUCGGGACUGAGACACGGCCCGAACUCCUACGGGAGGCAGCAGUGGGGAAUAUUGGACAAUGGGGGCAACCCUGAUCCAGCCAUGCCGCGUGUGUGAAGAAGGCUUUCGGGUUGUAAAGCACUUUCAGUGAGGAGGAAAAGUUGGUCGUUAAUACCGGCCAGCCUUGACGUUACUCACAGAAGAAGCACCGGCUAACUCCGUGCCAGCAGCCGCGGUAAUACGGAGGGUGCAAGCGUUAAUCGGAAUUACUGGGCGUAAAGCGCGCGUAGGUGGUUUGAUAAGCGAGAUGUGAAAGCCCCGGGCUUAACCUGGGAACGGCAUUUCGAACUGUCAGGCUAGAGUAUGGUAGAGGAGUGUGGAAUUUCCUGUGUAGCGGUGAAAUGCGUAGAUAUAGGAAGGAACACCAGUGGCGAAGGCGGCACUCUGGUAGCCAAUACUGACACUGAGUGCGAAAGCGUGGGGAGCAGACAGGAUUAGAUACCCUGGU
This 731-nucleotide ribosomal RNA is filed under the name Marinobacter sp. Its description in RNAcentral is "bacterial SSU rRNA". It matches the Rfam family "Bacterial small subunit ribosomal RNA", at positions 70 to 791 of the family's 1533-position model. Lineage: Bacteria; Pseudomonadati; Pseudomonadota; Gammaproteobacteria; Pseudomonadales; Marinobacteraceae. The record is from RNAcentral.